This 1267-nucleotide long non-coding RNA is filed under the name Canis lupus dingo (dingo). Its description in RNAcentral is "lncRNA (ENSCAFG00020012152.1)". Lineage: Eukaryota; Metazoa; Chordata; Mammalia; Carnivora; Canidae. The record is from RNAcentral.
UAAAACAUUUAAAUUCUGGGCUGUUUGUAACCUCUAAACAUGAAACAUUAGGUUGAGAAGGAAAGCAGAACUGGAAGUUCAGUAAAAAUAUGAAGAGUUAACAAUUCUGGUCCUACUUUUGGGACGAAAGUUUGAAAUUCUUUUUAGAAAGCAGUAACUGCUUUAGGAAACACUAAAUACCUCUGCUAAAUAAGCAGAAAUAAUGUGGUCAUUCCCUGAAAAAUGUUCACCAGUAGCAACUUUCUUAAUAGAUCACGGAUAAUACUUAAAUUUCUGUCAGUUGUUUUUAUUCGCCAAAUUAAACAGUCCUAAUAUUACCACUUAUACUUUGUGGCUUAUAACACUACUGAGUCCUACUAGUACAUAUAUUAGAGUUGAGUGGGAGCCAAGCUACAAGCUUUAUUGGCAAAGCUCAAUCGGAAAAGCUUUGGCCUAUGGCUCCAACUAAACUUGUCCUGCCCUCUUUUCCUAUACCUUGAAGUCCACCUUAAGAGGAAGAUAUUUAUUUAUUUAUUUUUUUAAGAGGAAGAUAUUUAAACCAACAGAUGCAAGAAUUGCGAAUGACCUAUGAACAGUGGGUAUUAUGUGUAAGUGAUGAAUCACUAAAUUAUACUCCUGAAACCAAUAUUACACUAUAUGUUAACUAAAAUUUAAAUAAAUGUUUGGAAGAAAAAAAGAGCCCUACAUGACUUCCACACCAUGUUAUACAGAGAAACCAAGAUUCUAAGAGAGCCUGAUGGGCCUGCCCUGGACUCUUGACUCAGUUUUGCUUACCAUAGGUGGAGGAAUGGAAACAUGUUCCGACUGGGCCUAUCAGGGUCUGAAAUAGAGCCCCAGAAGGGACUGAACCACACGUCUCCAGGAUUCUUCUCCCAGUGUCAUCAAUUGGAGAGAGGAGUCAAGCCUCCAUGGGAAUUCACACAGAGAAACUAAGCAACAGCGGAAGGUGCCCUGCUCCAGCUGCAGGGACUCAGCCAGAAAGACUGGAAUACUACAUGACUCUACCUGCAAGUUGGGGAAGGAGAAUUCAACACUAUUUGAGUAUUGAGUUGCAUUAAAUGUUUACUUAUACAUAGUAUUUUUGCUGUAUAAUAGCAUCAUGCAUUUUCUUCCAUCAAUGUUUUCUUCUCUCAUUCUUUCACUUGUUUUUGUAACUACAAGCUGUGUUGGAAUUUGCGCUUCUUUACAGGUUGGAACCAGUUUGAGAAAGGGGAGACAGAAGGCAAUUUAAAUGUAUAUUAUCAUCCAAAUGAUAGGGUUCCCUAGU